This is an RNA transcript of Triticum aestivum (bread wheat), 2931 nucleotides long. RefSeq lists it as uncharacterized. NCBI's taxonomy places the organism in Eukaryota, Viridiplantae, Streptophyta, Magnoliopsida, Poales, Poaceae. The transcript is spliced from 2 exons. The record is from RefSeq and is a predicted model, not a curated record.
AUCGCUGGGACAAGUUAAGUACUACUCCCUCCGUCCGAGAAAAGUUGUCUCCGACGAACACCUCCCCUUUCUUCCAACAAACUACGCAGCCCUCACUCCGACCGCUUCCCUGCUCCGUCGCCUGGCCACGCGCCGGCCGCCUGCUCUAUUGCGUCGCCGCCUGCUCCAUCGCCUCGCCACGCACCGGACGCCUUCUCCCCGUCGUCUCGCCGCUUCUCUUCGUCCGCACCAGGAAAUCAAGAGGGAAGCGAUCCCCUUUUCUGCAAAUCCCGCGACUUGCCGGCUCCGGCGGCGGCGCUUAUGUCCUGGAGGCAGGUCCUCGAGCUCCUCCUCCCGACCCCGAGCUCCUCGUCCUCGAGCUGCUGCAGAAGUUAACGACAGUUGCUCCUCCUCCAGCGAUUGGAGGUGGACUUGGUGCAGAAGAAUGGAUCUUGCUUCCGUUGAUCUCAGGUGAGCUAAAGAUGCUGCUUCCAUGGAACAUACAGUAUGCUUGACUGUAUAACUGUAAAGAAUUUUGGAGUAUAUUUUGUGUGCUGAUCAUUUUGUGUUCUGUUGCAAUAAGAUCAAAGUGUACAGUACUGAGCAUUUUGUGUUCUGUUCUGUUGAAUGUGCAGCUACUCUGAACAUACAGUACUGAGCAUUUUGUGUAGAAAUUUCUUUCUUGCUUACGUAAGAUGAUCUGCAUUACAUUUCCUAAAAUAUCUCUAUGCACUCAAACCAAAAGGAGUACUAUCAGUGCUCUAAUUGGGUCUACUAACCGUGAAAUCCUACCGAAACUGUAACACUAAUUCAUAGAGGGCAUGGAUAAGGAUAUGCAUCUGGUAGCUCAUAGAAUAUGACUAGCCAGGGAUGAAAUUACACUAGGUGCGUUCAAUCAAAAUCAAUCUAUUGGUUGGCUUACUACAGGACUAGAAAACUAGAACCUGGCAUGGCUACGUAAUGUAGGAGAUCUUUCUUGUUGUGGCCAAAAGAAAAUGGAUGGAUCUACGUAAUGUAGGAGGAGGAUCAUGUUUUCAGUGCCUUAGUACACAAAAGUAGGCAAAGUUUCUAUAACAAUAUACUUAAAUGCAAGGAAAAAAUAAGCAGCAAGUUUAUUCAGUUAAGGACGGAAUUAUUUUGAUCAAGUAAUUACUGUGACAAUAUUGCAACAUUUCUUCAGAGUACAUGAUCAGUUUUGCCCCUUUUCAGUAAAGGGGUGCAACAACUUUCUGGGAUUUCUGAAACUAUAGUCACUGGGACAAUAUAUAGUCACCUGGGAGUCACCUGGGAUUUCUGAAACUAUACUGUCACUUGGACAAUUCAAAACAGUUAACUGAUAGUGUCUAAAACAGUUAAGUGUUUCUGGGAUUUCUUUUUUCUUCAGUAAGACAUGAUUUCUUUUUUCUUCUUCUUUUUUCUCUAGUGUGCCAUCCCUUUUUUUAGACUAAAAGUGAAUCAGAGCAAAAGUCUUCCGUGUCAGUUUGCUAGAAAUAAUAGAAGAAGAAGUUACAAAUUUUCAAUUACAUUCAUAACACUUUGCUCUAACUAAUUUUUUUGCUCUCAGUUUAAGUUGAAGAUUUGACCUGGAAUGACCAGUCUCAGUUUAAGUAACAUAUUCUAGUAAUGCGACAAGCACAUCUGUACUGCUCUCAGUUUAAGUUACAGAUCACAUUCACAACACUUAGUUUGGAAAACUUCAAAGCAUCAAUAUCUAUUCCUGCUACCCCUGGUCUUGAUCCAACCAUUGCAAACUCAGGUAAAGUACCCUGCCCCUGCUCCUUCACAUGCUUCUAUCAGUGGUUAUCUAACUGAAUUUUCACAUGCUUCUAUCAGUGGAAAACUUAUAUUGUUUGCUAACAUUUUAUAAACAAAACACAUGGAAGCAACUCUAUAUAUGAUCCAUUUUGAGUAAUUAAUUUGGUACUCGAUUUGCUGUUGAAUUCUGCAAGUCCUUCAGUCUAAGCCUAUGAGUAACACUGCUUGUUCACUAAUUCAGUUUACUGUACAAUUUACUCUACAAACUGAAUAUUGUAUGUGUGUGUGUGUGUGUGUGUGUGUGUGUGUGUGUGUGUGUGUGCACGCUCAUCAAAUUGCAGACUAGAUGAUCGGUUGCUACUCUAAUUCACCUCAAUUUGACAUCAAUUUGAUCUGCACAACAAAUUAACAUCAAUUUGACACUGAUUUCAGAGGCGGCGAGGAGGAGCUGGGUCGCCUGGACGAAGAAGAAGAAGAAGAAGAAAUCGGCGAGGAGGAGCAGGUGGGCGCCUCUGUAGAAGGUGGGCGGCGGCGCUGGGCCCUACGGUGGAGGCACUGGUCACCUCGGUGCACGGCGGUGGAGCAGCGGCGGCCGGGGUCUUGCCCAACUCCCGCAACAGAGUGGCUGGCCUUGGCGCGCCGGGGUUGCGACCGGGGAUGUGAGAAGGACGACGAGUAAAGCUGACCGUGAUCCGUGGAAUCGCCGCUCGUCGAGGUGUCGCCGCGGAGGAGCAGCUGGGCGGCGGCGAAGCUCGCCUCCGCAGCGCAGCUAAGCAGGGCGGCGCAAGAUGGCAGCUGCGGGGCAGGUGGGCGGCGGCGCAAGUGGGACUUCGUCGCUGGCUGAUCCUACGGCGGCUGGGGCACGCGGUGCCCGUGGGCGACAGGGGGAGGCGGAGGCUGGGGCGCGCGCGGUGCCUACGGGCGUCGGGGGAGGAAGAAGGGCUGAUUAGCACGAGAUUUAAAGUGAAAAGGGGUUUUCUGCAAAAUUACAGUUGAACUAUGCUGGUGACAACUUUUUCGGGACGGAGGGAGUACCUUUGAUCCAAAUUUCAAUUCUUUUUUUUAGUAAACGGCAGGAGCACUCCCUUUUCUAUUUUUUGAAGAUAAAAAAGGUUUUUUUAAUGAAAGGUAGAUGAGGCUCUACCUUAUAUAUUUCAAAACAGGCCUAGGCCUGGGACCAGGGGUCGAUUACAUGAA